GCGAUAGUACCAGCACUAAUGCACCGGAUCCCAUUAGAACUCCGCAGUUAAGCGUGCUUGGGCGAGAGUAGUACUUGGAUGUGUGACCCCCUGGGAAGUCCUCAUGUUGCACCCC
This 115-nucleotide ribosomal RNA is filed under the name Rhododendron simsii. The record is from RNAcentral. Lineage: Eukaryota; Viridiplantae; Streptophyta; Magnoliopsida; Ericales; Ericaceae.